GAUGAACGCUGGCGGCGUGCCUAAUACAUGCAAGUCGAGCGAACAGAUGAGGAGCUUGCUCCUCUGACGUUAGCGGCGGACGGGUGAGUAACACGUGGAUAACCUACCUAUAAGACUGGGAUAACUUCGGGAAACCGGAGCUAAUACCGGAUAAUAAAUUGAACCGCAUGGUUCAAUAGUGAAAGACGGUUUUGCUGUCACUUAUAGAUGGAUCCGCGCCGCAUUAGCUAGUUGGUAAGGUAACGGCUUACCAAGGCAACGAUGCGUAGCCGACCUGAGAGGGUGAUCGGCCACACUGGAACUGAGACACGGUCCAGACUCCUACGGGAGGCAGCAGUAGGGAAUCUUCCGCAAUGGGCGAAAGCCUGACGGAGCAACGCCGCGUGAGUGAUGAAGGUCUUCGGAUCGUAAAACUCUGUUAUUAGGGAAGAACAAAUGUGUAAGUAACUAUGCACGUCUUGACGGUACCUAAUCAGAAAGCCACGGCUAACUACGUG
This 497-nucleotide ribosomal RNA is filed under the name uncultured bacterium. RNAcentral describes it as "partial 16S ribosomal RNA". It matches the Rfam family "Bacterial small subunit ribosomal RNA", at positions 28 to 507 of the family's 1533-position model. The record is from RNAcentral.